Molecule: ribosomal RNA, 468 nt
Filed under: uncultured bacterium
Lineage: Bacteria
Description: partial 16S ribosomal RNA
Rfam family: Bacterial small subunit ribosomal RNA
Source: RNAcentral
GACGAACGCUGGCGGCGUGCUUAACACAUGCAAGUCGAACGGAAAGGCCCUGCUUUUGUGGGGUGCUCGAGUGGCGAACGGGUGAGUAACACGUGAGUAACCUGCCCUUGACUUUGGGAUAACUUCAGGAAACUGGGGCUAAUACCGGAUAGGAGCUCCUGCUGCAUGGUGGGGGUUGGAAAGUUUCGGCGGUUGGGGAUGGACUGGCGGGUUAUCAGCUUGUUGGUGGGGGAGUGGCUUACCAAGGCUUUGGCGGGUAGCCGGCCUGAGAGGGUGACCGGCCACAUUGGGACUGAGAUACGGCCCAGACUCCUACGGGAGGCAGCAGUGGGGAAUAUUGCACAAUGGGCGGAAGCCUGAUGCAGCAACGCCGCGUGCGGGAUGACGGCCUUCGGGUUGUAAACCGCUUUCGCCUGUGACGAAGCGUGAGUGACGGUAAUGGGUAAAGAAGCACCGGCUAACUACGUG